This 253-nucleotide ribosomal RNA is filed under the name uncultured bacterium. Its description in RNAcentral is "partial 16S ribosomal RNA". It matches the Rfam family "Bacterial small subunit ribosomal RNA", at positions 524 to 776 of the family's 1533-position model. The record is from RNAcentral.
UACGUAGGCAGCGAGCGUUGUUCGGAUUUACUGGGCUUAAAGAGUGCGUAGGCGGUUUUCUAAGUUUGGGGUGAAAUCUCCCGGCUUAACUGGGAGGGUGCGCCGAAAACUGGAAGGCUUGAGUAUGGGAGAGGUAAGCGGAAUUCCUGGUGUAGUGGUGAAAUGCGUAGAUAUCAGGAGGAACACCUGCGGUGUAGACGGCUUACUGGACCAUAACUGACGCUGAGGCACGAAAGCGUGGGUAGCAAACAGG